AUUGAACGCUGGCGGCAUGCCUUACACAUGCAAGUCGAACGGCAGCACGGGUGCUUGCACCUGGUGGCGAGUGGCGAACGGGUGAGUAAUACAUCGGAACAUGUCCUGUAGUGGGGGAUAGCCCGGCGAAAGCCGGAUUAAUACCGCAUACGAUCUACGGAUGAAAGCGGGGGACCUUCGGGCCUCGCGCUUUAGGGUUGGCCGAUGGCUGAUUAGCUAGUUGGUGGGGUAAAGGCCUACCAAGGCGACGAUCAGUAGAUGGUCUGAGAGGACGACCAGCCACACUGGGACUGAGACACGGCCCAGACUCCUACGGGAGGCAGCAGUGGGGAAUUUUGGACAAUGGGCGAAAGCCUGAUCCAGCAAUGCCGCGUGUGUGAAGAAGGCCUUCGGGUUGUAAAGCACUUUUGUCCGGAAAGAAAUCCUUGGCUCUAAUACAGUCGGGGGAUGACGGUACCGGAAGAAUAAGCACCGGCUAACUACGUG
Molecule: ribosomal RNA, 486 nt
Filed under: uncultured bacterium
Lineage: Bacteria
Description: partial 16S ribosomal RNA
Rfam family: Bacterial small subunit ribosomal RNA
Source: RNAcentral